CAGUAGCCACGGGAAUACGAAGGGGGCUAGCGUUGUUCGGAUUUACUGGGCGUAAAGCGCACGUAGGCGGAUUCUUAAGUCAGAGGUGAAAUCCCAAGGCUCAACCUUGGAACUGCCUUUGAUACUGGGGAUCUUGAGUUCGGGAGAGGUGAGUGGAACUGCGAGUGUAGAGGUGAAAUUCGUAGAUAUUCGCAAGAACACCAGUGGCGAAGGCGGCUCACUGGCCCGAUACUGACGCUGAGGUGCGAAAGCGUGGGGAGCAAACAGGAUUAGAUACCCCAGUAGUCCCUGUCUCUUAUAC
RNAcentral lists this ribosomal RNA (301 nucleotides) under uncultured bacterium. RNAcentral's name for it is "partial 16S ribosomal RNA". It matches the Rfam family "Bacterial small subunit ribosomal RNA", at positions 509 to 807 of the family's 1533-position model. The record is from RNAcentral.